RNAcentral lists this non-coding RNA (45 nucleotides) under Schistosoma curassoni. Lineage: Eukaryota; Metazoa; Platyhelminthes; Trematoda; Strigeidida; Schistosomatidae. The record is from RNAcentral.
AUCCAUCUGACUGGUCUUAAAUAGGACGAAACACACGUCCUGGAU